This 882-nucleotide ribosomal RNA is filed under the name Lathyrus oleraceus (garden pea). The record is from RNAcentral. Lineage: Eukaryota; Viridiplantae; Streptophyta; Magnoliopsida; Fabales; Fabaceae.
AUGGUUUUUGUCAAGUCUCAGAAAUCAAAGGCUUACUUCAAGAGGUUUCAAGUCAAGUUCAAGAGAAGAAGAGAGGGUAAGACUGAUUACAGAGCCAGGAUUCGUUUUGAUUAAUCAGGACAAGAACAAGUACAAUACUCCCAAGUAUCGUUUUGUUGUUUCGAUUUACAAACAAAGACAUUGUUUUGCUCAAAUUGUGAUGCUACCAUUGCUGGUGAUAUUGUUCUUGCCGCCGUUAUGCAUGAACUCCUCACUAUGGGCUUGAAGUAGGUAUUACCAACUAUGCUGCAGCCUAUUGCACCGGUCUCCUGUUGGCUUCUCGCCGGGUUCUUAAAACUCUUGAAAUGGAUGAGGAGUAUGAGGGCAAUGUAGAGGCUAGUGGAGAAGAUUAUUCAGUUGAACCAGCUGAUUCCAGGAAGGCCUUUACCGUGCUCUUCUUGAUGUUGGUUUGGUUAAGACCACAACCGGUAACCCGUGUGUUUGGUGACACUCAAGGGAAGCUUUGGAUGGAGGUUUGGAUAUUCCUCACAGUGACAAGAGGUUUGCUGGUUUUGCAACAAGGACGAGAAGGAAGGCUGGUGCCUUGGAGGGUUUCACAGGAGGUUAUACUUUGGUGGCAUGUGGCUCACCGGCCUUUGACGGUUGUGGAACCGGAAUAAUUCAAACUUCACUUCAGUUCCAUAUAUCAAGGAAAGGGAUUAGAAGCUUGAUGGAAUUGAGGACCAGGUUUACAAGAAGGUUCAUGCUGCAAUUCGUGCAGCCCUCAAUCAAAAAGGUCCGGUAGAAGCAGCCACCAAAGGAACACAAGAGGUACAACCUGAAGAAGCUUACUUAUGAUGAAAGAAGGACAAAGUUGAUUGCUUCGCUUGGAGGCACUAAAUU